GACGAACGCUGGCGGCGUGCUUAACACAUGCAAGUCGAACGGAAAGGCCCUGCUUUUGUGGGGUGCUCGAGUGGCGAACGGGUGAGUAACACGUGAGUAACCUGCCCUUGACUUUGGGAUAACUUCAGGAAACUGGGGCUAAUACCGGAUAGGAGCUCCUGCUGCAUGGUGGGGGUUGGAAAGUUUCGGCGGUUGGGGAUGGACUCGCGGCUUAUCAGCUUGUUGGUGGGGUAGUGGCUUACCAAGGCUUUGACGGGUAGCCGGCCUGAGAGGGUGACCGGCGACAUUGGGCCUGCGAUACGGCCCAGACUCCUACGGGAGGCAGCAGUGGGGAAUAUUGCACAAUGGGCGGAAGCCUGAGGCAGCAACGCCGCGUGCGGGAUGACGGCCUUCGGGUUGUGAACCGCUGUCGCCUGUGACGAAGCGGGAGUGACGGUAAUGGGUAAAGAAGCACCGGCUAACUACGUG
RNAcentral lists this ribosomal RNA (468 nucleotides) under uncultured bacterium. Its description in RNAcentral is "partial 16S ribosomal RNA". It matches the Rfam family "Bacterial small subunit ribosomal RNA", at positions 28 to 507 of the family's 1533-position model. The record is from RNAcentral.